UACGUAGGGGGCAAGCGUUAUCCGGAUUUACUGGGUGUAAAGGGGGCGCAGACGGCAGCGCAAGCCAGGAGUGAAAGCCCGGGGCCCAACCCCGGGACUGCUCUUGGAACUGCGCGGCUGGAGUGCAGGAGGGGCAGGCGGAAUUCCUGGUGUAGCGGUGAAAUGCGUAGAUAUUAGGAGGAACACCAGUGGCGAAGGCGGCUUGCUGGACGAAAACUGACGUUGAGGCUCGAAAGCGUGGGGAGCAAACAGG
Molecule: ribosomal RNA, 253 nt
Filed under: uncultured bacterium
Lineage: Bacteria
Description: partial 16S ribosomal RNA
Rfam family: Bacterial small subunit ribosomal RNA
Source: RNAcentral